CUCAUUUAUUUGCAUUUUUACAGAGGUUAUCUUUUUGAAGAUAGGCAACAAUUCUCGUCUGCCUAUUAACCCCAUUCGAUAGGCGAAGCAACUGAGAUUGAGUGACUUGCCAAGCUCAUAAGUCUGGGAUGUAGAGAAACCAAAAAUCAAAUUGCCAGCUCAGAGCCCUUUCCAUCUCCCCAGAAUGCCUCAAACUUAGGUGACUUUGUUUUUAAGGCCACCAGUAACUGCAUCCAUGCUUUUACAUGUGAAGCUACUCAUCAAUGACAGAAAUGGUGUCUUCUUUAUUUCGGUGAGCUCAGUCCCUAGCAUAGUGCCUGUACAUAUCAGGCGCCCAGUAAAUAUUUGCUGAAUGAUUCACCUAUUUCUGUGGUCAGAGACCAUUAUUUGUAGUAUCCGUAACAGCUUUCUGAAAGAUCCAGAAUGUGGCAUCUUCUCUUACAUCAUCUACACCUUGAUACCUUGCAAAGUAAGAAGAAUGUAGUAACAACUGCUGAUCUCCCAAAUCCACCUGCUUCCAGAAGCUGCUUCCAAACAAUCCAGUAAACUUACUAUAGUGUGAAAUAGGACUGAGGAUUGGAUUGCCUCUUGGGAGGAAAGACAGGUGUUGAUCCUGAAGGCACCUCUAAUGAACUUCCCACAUGCUAGUG
Molecule: long non-coding RNA, 650 nt
Filed under: Homo sapiens (human)
Lineage: Eukaryota; Metazoa; Chordata; Mammalia; Primates; Hominidae
Description: HSALNT0028990
Source: RNAcentral